GUGCACCAGUCGCGAAACCUCCGCAAUGCGGGAAACCGUGACGGGGUCACCCCGAGUGCCACCCGAUGAGGGUGGCUUUUCCCCGGUCUAAAAAGCCGGGGGCAAUAAGCGGGGGGCGAAGUCUGGUGUCAGCCGCCGCGGUAAUACCAGCCCGCGAGUGGUCGGGACGUUUAUUGGGCCUAAAGCGUCCGUAGCCGGCACGGUAAGUCCCUCCUUAAAUCCACGGGCUCAACCCGUGGGCUGGGAGGGAUACUGCCGGGCUAGGGGGCGGGAGAGGCCGAGGGUACUCCCGGGGUAGGGGCGGAAUCCGUUAAUCCCGGGAGGACCACCAGUGGCGAAGGCGCUCGGCUGGAACGCGCCCGACGGUGAGGGACGAAAGCUGGGGGAGCAAAGGGGAUUAGAUACCCCCGUAGU
RNAcentral lists this ribosomal RNA (414 nucleotides) under uncultured microorganism. RNAcentral's name for it is "bacterial SSU rRNA". It matches the Rfam family "Archaeal small subunit ribosomal RNA", at positions 330 to 745 of the family's 1478-position model. The record is from RNAcentral.